UGAUAGGACAGUUGGGGGCAUUCGUACUCCAUUGUCAGAGGUGAAAUUCUUGGAUUUAUGGAAGACGAACUACUGCGAAAGCAUUUGCCAAGGAUGUUUUCAUU
Molecule: ribosomal RNA, 104 nt
Filed under: Selaginella moellendorffii
Lineage: Eukaryota; Viridiplantae; Streptophyta; Lycopodiopsida; Selaginellales; Selaginellaceae
Description: rRNA SSU_rRNA_eukarya
Rfam family: Eukaryotic small subunit ribosomal RNA
Source: RNAcentral